CGCUGGCGGCGUGCCUAACACAUGCAAGUCGAGCGAGUGGAUUCCUUCGGGAGAGAAGCUAGCGGCGGACGAAGAAUUAACUUAGUGGCGAACGGGUGAGUAACGCGUGGGUAACCUGCCUUGUACAGGGGGACAACAGUUGGAAACGACAGCUAAUACCGCAUAAGCGCACAGCUUCGCAUGAAGCAGUGUGAAAAGCUGAGGCGGUACAAGAUGGACCCGCGUUGGAUUAGCUAGUUGGUGGGGUAACGGCCUACCAAGGCGACGAUCCAUAGCCGACCUGAGAGGGUGACCGGCCACAUUGGGACUGAGACACGGCCCAAACUCCUACGGGAGGCAGCAGUGGGGAAUAUUGCACAAUGGGCGAAAGCCUGAUGCAGCGACGCCGCGUGAGCGAUGAAGUAUUUCGGUAUGUAAAGCUCUAUCAGCAGGGAAGAAAAUGACGGUACCUGACUAAGAAGCUCCGGCUAAAUACGUG
RNAcentral lists this ribosomal RNA (478 nucleotides) under uncultured bacterium. RNAcentral's name for it is "bacterial SSU rRNA". It matches the Rfam family "Bacterial small subunit ribosomal RNA", at positions 34 to 507 of the family's 1533-position model. The record is from RNAcentral.